ACGGAGCUGUUUUCUCUGAAGUUUUCGGAUGGAAGAGAGUUCAGCUUAGUGGCGAACGGGUGAGUAACACGUGAGCAACCUGCCUUUCAGUGGGGGACAACAUUUGGAAACGAAUGCUAAUACCGCAUAAGACCACAGUGUCGCAUGGCACAGGGGUCAAAGGAUUUAUCCGCUGAAAGAUGGGCUCGCGUCCGAUUAGCUAGAUGGUGAGGUAACGGCCCACCAUGGCGACGAUCGGUAGCCGGACUGAGAGGUUGAACGGCCACAUUGGGACUGAGACACGGCCCAGACUCCUACGGGAGGCAGCAGUGGGGAAUAUUGCACAAUGGGGGAAACCCUGAUGCAGCGACGCCGCGUGGAGGAAGAAGGUCUUCGGAUUGUAAACUCCUGUCCCAGGGGACGAUAAUGACGGUACCCUGGGAGGAAGCACCGGCUAACUACGUGCCAGCAGCCGCGGUAAAACGUAGGGUGCAGGCGUUGUCCGGAAUUACUGGGUGUAAAGGGAGCGCAGGCGGAUUGGCAAGUUGGGAGUGAAAUCUAUGGGCUCAACCCAUAAAUUGCUUUCAAAACUGUCAGUCUUGAGUGGUGUAGAGGUAGGCGGAAUUCCCGGUGUAGCGGUGGAAUGCGUAGAUAUCGGGAGGAACACCAGUGGCGAAGGCGGCCUACUGGGCACUAACUGACGCUGAGGCUCGAAAGCAUGGGUAGCAAACAGGAUUAGAUACCCUGGUAGUCCAUGCCGUAAACGAUGAUUACUAGGUGUGGGAGGAUUGACCCCUUCCGUGCCGCAGUUAACACAAUAAGUAAUCCACCUGGGGAGUACGACCGCAAGGUUGAAACUCAAAGGAAUUGACGGGGGCCCGCACAAGCAGUGGAGUAUGUGGUUUAAU
Molecule: ribosomal RNA, 887 nt
Filed under: uncultured bacterium
Lineage: Bacteria
Description: bacterial SSU rRNA
Rfam family: Bacterial small subunit ribosomal RNA
Source: RNAcentral